Molecule: long non-coding RNA, 146 nt
Organism: Etheostoma spectabile (orangethroat darter)
Lineage: Eukaryota; Metazoa; Chordata; Actinopteri; Perciformes; Percidae
Exons: 3
Source: RefSeq, a predicted model, not a curated record
ACAGACACAGAGAAUUCGCCUCUGAAAACGAUUUUUCUAAAAACUCCGGCCAGAGUGUAGAUUUUGGAAAUCUUUGUUUCUUCGCAUGUAAACUGAGACAAACGGAGGUUUAAGCAGCCGAGGAAGAGAAGAGCGAGGAAGUGAUU